RNAcentral lists this ribosomal RNA (295 nucleotides) under uncultured bacterium. RNAcentral describes it as "partial 16S ribosomal RNA". It matches the Rfam family "Bacterial small subunit ribosomal RNA", at positions 775 to 1067 of the family's 1533-position model. The record is from RNAcentral.
GGAUUAGAUACCCUGGUAGUCCACGCCAUAAACGUUGGGCACUUGGUGUUUCGGGCCUCGAGCCUGGAGUGCCGGCGCUAACGCAUUAAGUGCCCCGCCUGGGGAGUACGACCGCAAGGUUGAAACUCAAAGGAAUUGACGGGGGCCCGCACAAGCGGUGGAGCAUGUGGUUUAAUUCGAUGCAACGCGAAGAACCUUACCUAGGUUUGAACUUCUAGGGACGCACUCUAGAAAUAGAGUUUUCACUUCGGUGACCCUAGGAGAGGUGCUGCAUGGCUGUCGUCAGCUCGUGCUG